GAGUACGGUCGCAAGAUUAAAACUCAAAGGAAUUGACGGGGACCCGCACAAGCGGUGGAUGAUGUGGAUUAAUUCGAUGCAACGCGAAGAACCUUACCUGGUCUUGACAUGUACGGAAUCCUCCAGAGACGGAGGAGUGCCUUCGGGAGCCGUAACACAGGUGCUGCAUGGCUGUCGUCAGCUCGUGUCGUGAGAUGUUGGGUUAAGUCCCGCAACGAGCGCAACCCUUGUCAUUAGUUGCCAUCAUUAAGUUGGGCACUCUAAUGAGACUGCCGGUGACAAGCCGGAGGAAGGUGGGGAUGACGUCAAGUCCUCAUGGCCCUUAUGACCAGGGCUUCACACGUCAUACAAUGGUCGGUACAGAGGGUAGCCAAGCCGCGAGGCGGAGCCAAUCUCACAAAACCGAUCGUAGUCCGGAUUGCACUCUGCAACUCGAGUGCAUGAAGUCGGAAUCGCUAGUAAUCGCAGGUCAGCAUACUGCGGUGAAUACGUUCCCGGGUCUUGUACACACCGCCCGUCACACCAUGGGAGUGGGGGAUACCAGAAGUAGGUAGGGUAACCGCAAGGAGCCCGCUUACCACGGUAUGCUUCAUGACUGGGGUGAAGUCGUAACAAGGUAACC
This 622-nucleotide ribosomal RNA is filed under the name uncultured bacterium. RNAcentral describes it as "bacterial SSU rRNA". It matches the Rfam family "Bacterial small subunit ribosomal RNA", at positions 878 to 1501 of the family's 1533-position model. The record is from RNAcentral.